UACGUAGGGGGCAAGCGUUGUCCGGAAUCAUUGGGCGUAAAGCGCGUGUAGGCGGCUCGAUAAGUCUGCUGUGAAAGUCCAGGGCUCAACCCUGGAAAGCCGGUGGAAACUGUCGGGCUAGAGUCCGGAAGAGGCGAGUGGAAUUCCUGGUGUAGCGGUGAAAUGCGCAGAUAUCAGGAGGAACACCAAUGGCGAAGGCAGCUCGCUGGGACGGUACUGACGCUGAGACGCGAAAGCGUGGGGAGCAAACAGG
Molecule: ribosomal RNA, 253 nt
Filed under: uncultured bacterium
Lineage: Bacteria
Description: partial 16S ribosomal RNA
Rfam family: Bacterial small subunit ribosomal RNA
Source: RNAcentral